UCUUAUGGUUUGGAUGUGGUGCAGGGGUGUCCCCUAAAGGUUCCUCUGCUGAAGGUUUGGUCCCUGGUGUGAUGCUGCUGGGAGCUGGUGAUACCCCUAAGAGUGAACUGCUAUCCAAGAACAAUCCUUGCCCCUGGAUCCCUCUCUGGCUUGUGGUCUCACAGUGUGCUCUCCUUCUCUCACGUAUUCCUACCAUCAUGCCAUCUGCCAUAUUGUGAUACAGCCCCAGAAGGUGACUGGGCAGUGGAGUCACUUACAGGAAAUGAGCUGGUGCCAGGACCGCCCAGUUGAGAAAAUAUGAACAAGAUGCCUUGUGCCGCUGAUGAACUCCCCACUCCUCGAGCCUCAAGGGAAAGCAGGAAGAUGGGCCCGUAUCCCAGACACUCCCACAUAUGUUCUCCCCUGGCUACACCCCCAGAG
Long non-coding RNA from Fukomys damarensis (Damara mole-rat), 420 nucleotides. RefSeq lists it as uncharacterized. The transcript is spliced from 3 exons. The record is from RefSeq and is a predicted model, not a curated record. Lineage: Eukaryota; Metazoa; Chordata; Mammalia; Rodentia; Bathyergidae.